Molecule: transfer RNA, 84 nt
Filed under: Bacteroidota bacterium
Lineage: Bacteria; Pseudomonadati; Bacteroidota
Also listed under: 5 other names
Description: tRNA-Leu
Rfam family: tRNA
About the family: Transfer RNA (tRNA) molecules are approximately 80 nucleotides in length.
Source: RNAcentral
GCCCGAAUGGCGGAAUUGGUAGACGCGCUGGACUCAAAAUCCAGUGAUAGCAAUAUCGUGCCGGUUCGAUUCCGGCUUCGGGUA